AUUGAACGCUGGCGGCAUGCCUUACACAUGCAAGUCGAACGGUAACAGGUCUUCGGAUGCUGACGAGUGGCGAACGGGCGAGUAAUACAUCGGAACGUGCCCGAUCGUGGGGGAUAACGAGGCGAAAGCUUUGCUAAUACCGCAUACGAUCUACGGAUGAAAGCGGGGGAUCUUCGGACCUCGCGCGGACGGAGCGGCCGAUGGCAGAUUAGGUAGUUGGUGGGAUAAAAGCUUACCAAGCCGACGAUCUGUAGCUGGUCUGAGAGGAUGAUCAGCCACACUGGGACUGAGACACGGCCCAGACUCCUACGGGAGGCAGCAGUGGAGAAUUUUGGACAAUGGGCGAAAGCCUGAUCCAGCCAUGCCGCGUGCAGGAUGAAGGCCUUGGGGUUGUAAACUGCUUUUGUACGGAACGAAAAGCCUCUUUCUAAUAAAGAGGGGUCAUGACGGUACCGUAAGAAUAAGCACCGGCUAACUACGUG
Molecule: ribosomal RNA, 482 nt
Filed under: uncultured bacterium
Lineage: Bacteria
Description: partial 16S ribosomal RNA
Rfam family: Bacterial small subunit ribosomal RNA
Source: RNAcentral